This 145-nucleotide ribosomal RNA is filed under the name uncultured bacterium. RNAcentral's name for it is "partial 16S ribosomal RNA". It matches the Rfam family "Bacterial small subunit ribosomal RNA", at positions 211 to 353 of the family's 1533-position model. The record is from RNAcentral.
GGCCAUGAACAUGGAUGGACCUGCGGUGCAUUAGCUAGUUGGUGAGGUAACGGCCCACCAAGGCGACGAUGCAUAGCCGGCCUGAGAGGGCGGACGGCCACAUUGGGACUGAGACACGGCCCAAACUCCUACGGGAGGCAGCAUG